Molecule: unclassified non-coding RNA, 25 nt
Filed under: Mus musculus (house mouse)
Lineage: Eukaryota; Metazoa; Chordata; Mammalia; Rodentia; Muridae
Description: oocyte_clustered_small_RNA4443
Source: RNAcentral
UACUGCCAUCCGCACCAGUGUCUAA